Schistocerca serialis cubense is the source of this 2073-nucleotide long non-coding RNA. RefSeq lists it as uncharacterized. The transcript is spliced from 4 exons. Lineage: Eukaryota; Metazoa; Arthropoda; Insecta; Orthoptera; Acrididae. The record is from RefSeq and is a predicted model, not a curated record.
UGUGUUGUAUAAUAUUCUUCGCUGGACGUAAAACACUUAGCAUUAAAAUUGUUGCGAUUAUCACUCAUCCAUUUUGGGGAUCGUAUCGCAGGGUAGCGGACACAUGAUGUCACCAGCUUGUUAUCGGCUGUACUCUAUUAAUCUGCUGUGCGUGGCAGAUCAUUGCAUUUGCUGGUAACAUGGUAAGGAGAUUCGUAUGUUUCAGAGCGUGCAAAUGCGUUGUAUACGAGUGUGAAACAGUUGAAAGGUGCUUUUUUUUAUAUAAAAAUUGUGUCAAAUGUCAGCAGUGAACGGUUUGGUGAAGAAACCGGCGUAAGUGUGAGAGCGUCAAGAGAUGCAUACGCGGUAACAGCUGAACGAUUUUUAGUGCACUUUUAUGUGGUCGCCAUAGUCGAAGUCAUAUGGAAUAGCAGUAGCCAGUCAGACUUCUACUGCAGUGAUAUUGCAAAAAUCUCACUUUAGAUAUGAUGUCUACAAGUGAACGACAGUACUACGUAGAAAUAUUACUCCGAAUGUUUCAGUCGCUGUUAGUAUGCCCCUUGCAGCUGGCAGUGGAAAACUUUAUUUUUUCACUACAUGCAAUAAUCUGCGUUUACAGACAACAGUUAUGUUGCCGAUGAUAUUUUUCGACGUCCAGCACAGCGUUCAUCGCACCAACGGUGGACGCCGGUGGCGCUGGGAGGGUUGGGAUAACGAGCUGGAAUGCCUUGUUUUUGAGGUAUUUGAACUGAGUGUGGCGGUGUUAACCGUCAGCGUUUCACGGCGGCUACCACCAACAAUUCGACAACAGUUAAGGCUCAGCUGUAUCUAACAUACAUGCUCAAGAAGUGCACACAGAGUGCUGGAGGCAGUGGCAGCAUUCACAGUAGCUGUGAUGGCUGCAAGUGGCAGUGAUGGCGCGAUGGUGGUGCUGACUCUCAGAAGACUGCUAAAGAUCAUGAUGGUGGGCAACCAAAAGGCUGCAGCCAGUGCCAAAGCACCAUAACAACACACUUCUGAAGAGGGAAAGGAAGUAGAUGGAUAGAAGACCGGGCGCUAAAGAUUCAACAGGGACAACAGCAGAUGCAAGCCAGUCAGCAGGGCAAGUCUUGGCAGCUGCUCGACAGAGAUCGCCGUCGGUGAAGGCACUAUUUUGCCACACCUCACAGGGACACAGACCAGGGAUGAAGAUGGCAUCUGACUAGGAGAGCCAAAGGGCAACGAGCUAAUUAUUCCCAGCAGCAACAGACAAUCACACGGUUCCCAUGCAGCCAUCUGGGUGGUGUUAAAAUCUGCAGACGGAGGGCUGCAGACAGUCGCAGUCGAAUUCUGGAGUUAUAUCCUAUGGUUAACAGUUGCGUUCCAAAGUCGUCAGUCGCAGUUACAUAGAGACAAUAUACUGGAUGACAGUCGCAGUUGUAUACAGACUGCUGUACUGGAAUAUACCAGAUGAAUAAACAAAUUUAUUAUUAGAACCACUAUGGUCACAUACAGUGCUGCAUUGCCAUUAACAACCUAAUUAUGGAGGACAUUACUAUGGGUGAUAACUUGUUAAGACUAAGAGUCUACUGUAUGGAAUGUUUGUGCACCAGAUUUCAGGUCAAGAUAUUUCGGAGUUGUUAUAAAUAAGAUAUACCUUAAUUGAACUAAUUUGUUUAUGUAGUAGCUUCAGAAUGCUACAAUGCCACAGUUGAUAGUGAUUUACCUCAACUGAAGUAGAAAGCACUUCACAACAUCAGAGGUGUUAUCAAAAAGUAACGGGAUUUUUUUAAUUUAGCGGGUUUAUCAUUCGAUUUUCAAUUUUUUUGUUCUCUUGUUGAUACACAGGGUCCUAAAUGGAAAUGCCUUAUGGCUAGGACCUCCCAUCGGGUAAACCAUUCGCCUGGCGCAAGUAUUUCGAGUUGACGCCACUUCGGCGACUUGCGUGUGGACGGCGAUGAAAUGAUGAUUAGGAUAACACAACACCCCGUCCCUGAGCGGAGAAAAUCUCCGACCCAGCCGGAAAUCGAUCCCGGGCCGUUAGGUAUGACAUUCCAUGGCGCUGACUACUCAGCUACCAGGGGCGGACCACAUGGUCCUGAUUUACGUUUACAU